GGGGUUCCAGCAAAGCCUCUGUCUCCUUUUUCACCAGGUAAUCCUGCAGCACCUAUCCCAGGAGGACCAGGAAAACCUCUUUCACCACGCACUCCAGGGAAUCCAGGUUGGCCAGGGGGACCACGUUCUCCUUUCAAGCCAGCUGUACCCUAAUUUUUGGAAAGUAUAAGUGUACUCCUUGCCUGGCUGGCAAGACAGAACACAUCAUCCUCUCUGAAUAUUUUGCAACUGGGAUUUAGCACAGGAAUCUGUAAUUCUGAAGAAAGUGGAUUUUUUUCUACUGAGUUCAAUGGAAACAGAACAAGGUUGCACGUGGCACAGCACAGGGAGAUCACAUCUAGCAAUGCAGCUAACUGUUACAUGCAGGCCAUGUUUCCAGUAGUGGAUCUGGGAGCAGAGAUGAGCUUCACAUUCAGCUCCAUAUUCACAUCAGCUGAACUCUGUCAGUGCCAGAUUUCAAAGCAUUCGUUUCCACAAGAAGAGAAAUAUGCUAGAGCAGAAUUGAAUCUUGUCUUCACAAUUUCUACUUGGAUAACUACAUUUGUUCAAUCAUCUCCAAAUACUAGCUAAAUCAUUCACACUAGUUCUCACUAUCAAGCUGUGAGAAAGGCAGAAAGGGAUAAAACUACUGUCCAUGUUUGAACCUUUUCUCUAUAGUCCUGAAAGUAACAAGCCAUGCUGAAUGCAUUUGAGUCAGAUUACUUAUUUGCACGGCAUGUAAAAAAAGGUCUGAAAAACCUAGCUCUGAAAUAGUCAGUUGUUGAAGAACUGUCUUCCUCACUACUUCCAGUGAAAAUGGAAUCGUCUUCUGAGGAAGAAUGCACUACUCAUGGUAAAGAAUAGAAGUGGCAAAAUAAAUGAGGCCAAUAAACAUAAAGCAUGUAUAGGGCACAAAAGCAUGUGCAUUCUGAUCUGGAAGACAGAAUGUAUAGCACAGUACCUCUCUCUCACCACUGGUGAUAGAGGGAGCUCAUGUAACUCCAGUGUGUGAUAAAGCCAGUGCACAGGAAUGUCACUGGGAAGUUAUGUUGCCAGAAAGGAUCAGCUGUAAGGAAACAGGCAGCUUUGCGGAGAAGAGGUCUGGGAAGACUCAGUCUACUCACAGUAGGAAUGGUGUCAAAACCCACAUUAUGCUACAGGAACAUGUGUGCUAAGAACAUACUGCAGACACUUCCCAAAAUCUUCAUUAACAACCUGGAUGCAGGACUUGAAGGAAUACUAAUGACAGGAAUUGAGGAAACACCAUGAAGCUGAGUCAGAGGAAGUUUAGGCUGGAUAUCAGGAAAAGAUUUUACAUCCAGAGGGUGGCUGAGCACUGGAACAGGCUCCCCAGGGAAGUGGUCACAACAACAGCCUGAUGGAGCUCAAGAAGCAUUUGGACAAUUCUCUCAGGCACACAGGGUGAUGUUUGGGAUGUUCUUCACAGGACCAGGAGUUGGACCCAAUGAUCCAGAUAAGCCCCUCCUAAUUCAGCAUUUUCUCUUAUUCUAUCAUUCAAAAUUCAGCAAAACUGCCAAUAUGCU
This is a long non-coding RNA of Passer domesticus (house sparrow), 1523 nucleotides long. RefSeq lists it as uncharacterized. The transcript is spliced from 4 exons. NCBI's taxonomy places the organism in Eukaryota, Metazoa, Chordata, Aves, Passeriformes, Passeridae. The record is from RefSeq and is a predicted model, not a curated record.